Molecule: long non-coding RNA, 4880 nt
Organism: Heterocephalus glaber (naked mole-rat)
Lineage: Eukaryota; Metazoa; Chordata; Mammalia; Rodentia; Bathyergidae
Source: Ensembl
GGCGCAGCGCGCACAGCCGGUGGCCCCCGAGCGGUGUCCUCCGGGCCGGGCGGGGGCCUCGGAACGCCCGCGGAGGGGAGCAGAGCCGGGGUCCCCAAUUCCUGUUCCCCGCGCCCCUCUCUGGCUUUGCGCCCAGCCGCGGGGUUCCCGGCCAGAGCAGGCGGCUUCCGCUCGCCGGGGCAGCAGAGGACCUGGACACUCUAAUUCCUAUGGGGAAAGCUGUCCUUUCCUUCUCUAAGGUACAAGGGUCAUCCUGACUUUGGGGAGGAGCCGGGAGUCACGUGGUGCCAGAUCCGGUGAAAAAUGUGGAAAAGGACACAGUGUAAUAUCUUCACAAGCCCACAUUUCCCUGGGAUGGCACUCAGCUCUGGCAUUCACUAUAUUUUUGAUCAUACCUUGUAAAGACAGUUGUGAAAGAGGACUUCCAAAGCUGCUUCAGAAAGUGGCAAGAACGAUAGGACAAGUGUUUUCAGAGGUAGGGGCAGUAUUUGAGGAGGUUUAAUGGCAAUGUAUCUUUUACUGUAUAAUUUUUAAAUUUUAAUUUAAACAUUUCACUGUAUUUUCUGAUCACUCCUUGUACAUCUAUUUUGAGAGUUCACGAAAACUUUUCCCUACUAAGGCCGUGGGGUGGCCAUGAGUGGCAUCUCAUGUUAACUGUUAAAAAAUAACAGUAUUAAAAUAUACAUGCAGCUUUUCUACUUCCUCACGUUCAAUAGGUUAUGUAUGUAUUCAGGUGAAAAAAGUGAAGGCUAAAUUUUAUACGUAUAUACAUAUAUUUAAUCAGUUUUUUGGCUUAUGUUUAAAUCAGUAGAUAUUGAAAGACAGGAUAUAUAUUUUUAGCAAAUCAACUUGCUUUUUUCCUACAUUUGCAAAUAAGAAGUUUUGUACCCAAACAUAUCAUUCUUCCAAUUUUUUUUAAAAAUAAAGAUCUACUUUUUAAAAAGCUGUAAUUUAAAAUUUCCUUUUGGUUAAAUAUAAUUAUGCUUAAAAUGGCAUAUCUCCACAUAUGCUUGCCUGGUAACAUUGACUAUUACUUGCCUUUUUCUGGGCUGUGAUGUAAGUGGGAAUAGGACAAUUAUAGAAUUCCGGUAACAGAGUUACCAUAUAAGGCUUGGAUGAAUGGGUGGCUUAGUUUUUUUUUUAAUUUUUAAUUUUUUAAAUUUUCUAUUUGACCUUGAGAGCAGUUGAUCACGUUUAUCUCAAACAUUUCUUAUCCACAUCUUCAAUAUUUAAUUAUAAUGCUUGGCCCAUCUGCUGUGCCUGGGACCUGGUAUUCAUCACUUGCUUUAUAAAUACAGACCCACGCCCCUUGGGCAAGGCAGCAAAAGCAGGCACCAGAAUAGGCACUUAUUGACUGCUGAUGAUUACCCUGGAUGCUGUAGGGGAUAACAAAAUUGAGAAAGAAAAUAUUUCCUGUGUUUUCAGGAAGCCUACAAUUUAGCCAGGCAGUCCAAACACAAAUCCUUUUCUGAAGAAGAAUAAAAUUAGGGCACAGAGGACUACUUGGUGUUGUUGGGAUAAUAAGUCUCACAUUACCCAAGAAACACGGAAUCGUGGAGACCAUUGUAUUCUCUCCAACCAGUGGAAAUUUUGCAGUUAAACUGGUUCAUUCAUUACUGUUAACUUGGCCGACAGAAAAGGGUUGUCAGCUCAUUUGGCGUUGGAUUUUAAAUUUCACAGAGAUGAAAUAAAACCAAAACUAAUUGGGAGUUCUUAUAAUUUCUUCUGUUGCAUGCAGUUUUGUCAGUGGUUUUUAUUACAGAAUUAUUCAGGAAUUCUGAGGUGACCAUGAUUUGAAAAGCAGCUCUGUUUAGGAGGAACGUUUGGGUCACUUCAAGGGGACCUGACGUAUGAGGUCUGACGUAUGAAGUAGUGAGCGUUUGCCUGGACAGGCCUAGCUGUUGAAUUUGCAGACACCAUGCAGAGCUCUGCUCACCCCAGUCUGUCUGAGCCGCAUCUCCACCUAUCAUGUCUGUACUCUGGGCUUCUAGGGCAUGGUAAAUUAUUUUUAAUUAGUAUUGUAGACAGUUUUUUCCAUCUGUAGAUAAUUCCUCAACAUCCAACAUAAGAACUUUGGCAGCUCAGAAGUGAGAUUUUUGUAAUAUACUCAUUUCCAUAAGUAUGAGCAAUUGCAAAGGAUUCAUUGAGGGGUAUACAUUCCUUGCAAUAUAAACAUGAAAUAUAUUUAUUUUUUCCAAUCUAAAUUUUCACCUUGCUCUCUGUCUUCCUUUUUAGCAUCCUUUAACAAUAUCUGGGGUAGAUUAUGUGGCUUUCUAGGCAUGUUUAAUUGUUAAAACUUAGUUUCACCCAGCUUGAAACUUCAAUCUUGUAUGUGAGUCAAAGCUUUCUCCCCGGUGUGACUGUGGUGUGGGGCAGAGUGUGGCUCUGACACCUUCUGGGCUUUGCUCUCUGAGGCUAAGCUCUUCCAGUUUGGGGGAAGUGGGUCAGCGUGGAGCAGUAAGGAAGCAGAGAUGUAGCCUCACGGGUCUCCUGUUGGGGGCGAUGGCGAGAAGCCCUGCUGUGACAGCCGUCAGUCCGGGGCCUGGAUGACCCUGGGCUUCUCUGUCCAUCAAGUGCUGGGUCUGUCCUCUUUGGGGAGUGGGCAGUUUCACUGUCACCCUCUUAUCCCUGGACUCCUUCAGAAUGAGGUGGUCAAAUCUUUCUUGCAUUUUGCAUCUCAUUAUUGGAAUACACGAGAACCCCCAAGUCUGUCUCUAGCACCUUCUAAUGAAUGCACAGAGCAGCAGAGCGAGUCCUCAUCUUGUCCUGCGAGGCGCAGUCCAGCAGCAUUGUCUUCUCAAGCCUGGCCAGGCUGACCACUUCGGUGGGUUUCCCAUCUUCAGAAAUCUCUCUUUUCAGAGAAGGGGCCAAUCUUUGUGCUCACAUGUUCCCUUGAACUUCAGGGGCCAUGUUCUGCACCCUCCUUCAUCUUGCCCAAGUGCACAGCAACACUGGAAAGCACUGUACAUCGCUUCUCCCUCACCAGCAUCUGGCCGUGGUGGACAUCAGGCCUUUCCAGUUUCUAUGAAAGAGGAUGGCGUGACCUCUGUCCGUGACCUCUGCAAUCUCCAGAGUGUGUGGAAACCAACAUGCUGCAGGGGACUGGGUUAAAUAUUGGAUACAUUAUAUACCAGCAGGUAACAUAGGGCUGCACUGUGGGUUUUCAGAUAGGAAGAAAAAAUGAACAAGAGUUGAAGAAUCAGAACAUGUUUGAAGACAAAGAUAUAGUCACAUUUGGUUGUGGUACAGAGAAAUAAUGAAAAAUUAGCUGCAGGAAAGAAAAAACUUUGGGACAUAUUUUGGAGGAUCUUAAAUGCCCUGCUGACAAGCUUGAAUUGAAUCUAACGUGCCAGAGACAGCCCUGAACAGAAGAGGGACAAAUGACUUGGACAUAUCUACAUUGCAUUUCAAAAACUUUUUUUGGGUAAUAGCAAGUGGUUCUGAAAGCUGUAGAAUUGGACCUGUGUGUCUGGUGCUUGGAAGAGUUAUUACAUUUAUAGUUACAGAGAGUCUGAAUGGUCUGCAUUUCUGUUAGCUGACACAAGUGGAAUGUCCUUUUUUAAAAACCAGAAAUCUCUGUUAUUGGCAAUGCCUUAGCUUUGAGCAGAUAAGUAGAUAAGCCCCAUAGUGCCAGCCCAUGAUGAUCUUCACUUGGCAUUACAGAGGUGGCAGUGUACUCUUGUACUUAGUAAAUAACUCCUCUGGUAUUGCUUCAAUGUAGAAAGAACUCUAACAACACAGUGACGAUAUGCAAUAAAUUCUUAUUGAAGACAUUAACUGUUGUGGGUUUAAAAGCAUAGUUUUCUACUAAGUCAUAACCUUUCCUGCUAUUGUUUGGAAAUAGCAUUGAUUGCUCUUGUUAUCACCAUGGUCCUCAAUACCAUGGCAAUAAACAAUAACCACAUAACAUAAAAUAAUAGUAGCAACAAGAUGCAGCACUUAUUGAGAGCUUACUACACACCUGCCAUUUUGCAAACUACUUCUCACCAGCUCAUCUGAGCCCCAGAUAGCCAUGCAGGGAAGGAAAUUGAAGCACGAAGAGGUUAAGUGUCCUGGUCAGGGAUGCAUGCCUUGUAAAGGAGGAGCCCGCAUAUGACCCAGGCGUCUGUGUGCAAGUGCUGAGCUCCUGGUAUCGCUGCCCUGGUUGGGGAGUUUGGGAGCCAGCACAGAGCAACUGCCUUGGGCAAACAUGGGCGGGAUGAGGCGGUGGCUUGCCAGGAGACUGCACUGCCUUUGUGGAGUAGCCAUGAGUUUCCACUCUGCUCAGCAGCCCGCACGCCAGCAGCACUGGGGUUCAUGGUCCCCGCUUUACUGUCAUCCCUACCUUCACCUAACUGCUGAGUACUGAAAGUCUGGCAGUGACUUGCGUAAGAGAAGCUCUCUUUACUAUUAGCCCAUUAUUCAGCAUCAAGCCUUUGGUGGAAACAUCUGGAGAUGCAGUUUUGUCAGUACAGUGAGAGUUGAGCAAACUCAGGGGACAUUUCAUUAAAAUUAAAUGAACAGGAAGAAAAUGUAUUGAUUAAUUUCAUUAAUUUUUAAAUCAACCAUGGGGCAUAAUUUUUAAAUAAUAAAAUAGGCCCAUUCUUGACAUAUAGCUUUAUGAAUUUUAACAAAUGUAGUUUAAAUUAAUUCCCAUGACAGUGAAUCAUCAACCACAAUUAAUAGGCAGAGCUUUCUAUUAUCCCAAAAUGUCUCCAAGUUCCAGUCCUUCUCAUGCCCUGUCUUUAAUCCCUGGCAAAUCAUGAUGUGUUUUUAAUCAUUGUAGAUUAUACUUUCUUUCUAAAGUUUCAUGUAAAUGGAAUCAUUUGCUCUUGUGUGAUUGAUUUUUCUUGUUCAGAAAAAUGUUUCUGCGAUUCACACGUUAUUUCAUGUAUUGGUGC